GUGCUCACUUCAGCAACACAUAUACUAAAAUUGGAAUGAUACAGAGAUGAUUAGCAUGGCCCCUGCACAAGGAUGACACGCAUUCGUGAAGCGUUCCAUAUUAAA
Small nuclear RNA from Manis pentadactyla (Chinese pangolin), 105 nucleotides. The record is from RefSeq and is a predicted model, not a curated record. Lineage: Eukaryota; Metazoa; Chordata; Mammalia; Pholidota; Manidae.